This 302-nucleotide ribosomal RNA is filed under the name uncultured bacterium. RNAcentral describes it as "partial 16S ribosomal RNA". It matches the Rfam family "Bacterial small subunit ribosomal RNA", at positions 508 to 809 of the family's 1533-position model. The record is from RNAcentral.
GCAGCAGCCGCGGGAAUACGGAGGGUGCAAGCGUUAAUCGGAAUUACUGGGCGUAAAGCGCACGCAGGCGGUCUGACAAGUCAGAUGUGAAAUCCCCGGGCUUAACCUGGGAACUGCAUUUGAAACUGUCAGGCUGGAGUCUUGUAGAGGGGGGUGGAAUUCCAGGUGUAGCGGUGAAAUGCGUAGAGAUCUGGAGGAAUACCGGUGGCGAAGGCGGCCCCCUGGACAAAGACUGACGCUCAGGUGCGAAAGCGUGGGGAGCAAACAGGAUUAGAUACCCCAGUAGUCCCUGUCUCUUAUAA